GAAUUUUCCGCAAUGGGCGAAAGCCUGACGGAGCAACACCGCGUGAGGGAAGAAUGUCUGUGGGUUGUAAACCUCUUUUCUUAAGGAAGAAAAUCUGACGGUACCUAAGGAAUAAGCAUCGGCUAACUCCGUGCCAGCAGCCGCGGUAAUACGGAGGAUGCAAGCGUUAUCCGGAAUCAUUGGGCGUAAAGCGUCUGUAGGUGGUUAAGAAAGUCAGCUGUUAAAUCUUACAGCUUAACCCUGAAUCAGCAGUGGAAACUUCUAGGCUAGAGUAUGGUAGGGGUAGAGGGAAUUCCCAGUGUAGCGGUGAAAUGCGUAGAUAUUGGAAGAACACCGA
Molecule: ribosomal RNA, 337 nt
Filed under: uncultured rhodophyte
Lineage: Eukaryota; Rhodophyta
Description: bacterial SSU rRNA
Rfam family: Bacterial small subunit ribosomal RNA
Source: RNAcentral